This 19-nucleotide non-coding RNA is filed under the name Rattus norvegicus (Norway rat). Lineage: Eukaryota; Metazoa; Chordata; Mammalia; Rodentia; Muridae. The record is from RNAcentral.
UGACUGGGGUGCUUGACAG